AGUAACGCGUGAGGAACCUGCCUCAAAGAGGGGGACAACAGUUGGAAACGACUGCUAAUACCGCAUAAGCCCACAGCUCGGCAUCGAGCAGAGGGAAAAGGAGUGAUCCGCUUUGAGAUGGCCUCGCGUCCGAUUAGCUAGUUGGUGAGGUAAUGGCCCACCAAGGCAACGAUCGGUAGCCGGACUGAGAGGUUGAACGGCCACAUUGGGACUGAGACACGGCCCAG
This 227-nucleotide ribosomal RNA is filed under the name uncultured bacterium. RNAcentral's name for it is "partial 16S ribosomal RNA". It matches the Rfam family "Bacterial small subunit ribosomal RNA", at positions 109 to 334 of the family's 1533-position model. The record is from RNAcentral.